This 468-nucleotide ribosomal RNA is filed under the name uncultured bacterium. Its description in RNAcentral is "partial 16S ribosomal RNA". It matches the Rfam family "Bacterial small subunit ribosomal RNA", at positions 28 to 507 of the family's 1533-position model. The record is from RNAcentral.
GACGAACGCUGGCGGCGUGCUUAACACAUGCAAGUCGAACGGAAAGGCCCUGCUUUUGUGGGGUGCUCGAGUGGCGAAAGGGUGAGUAACACGUUAGUAACCUUCCCUUUACUUUUGGAUAACUUCAGGAAACUGGGGCUAAUACCGGAUAGGAGCUCCUGCUGCAUGGUGUGGGUUGGAAAGUUUCGGCGGUUGUGGAUGGACUCGAGGCUUAUCAGCUUGUUGGUGGGGUAGUGGCUUACCAAGGCUUUGACGGGUAGCCGGCCUGAGAGGGUUACCGGGGUCAAGAGGACUGAGAUACGGAGCAGACGGCAAUGGGAGGCAGCAGGGGGGAAUAUGGCGCAAUAGGGGGAAGCCUGAUGCGAAAACGCCGCGAGCGGGAUGACGGCCUACGGGUUGUAAACAGAUGUCGACGGUGACGAAGAGUGAGUGACGGUAAUGGGUAAAGAAGCACCGGCUAACUACGUG